This 357-nucleotide ribosomal RNA is filed under the name uncultured organism. Its description in RNAcentral is "bacterial SSU rRNA". It matches the Rfam family "Bacterial small subunit ribosomal RNA", at positions 45 to 433 of the family's 1533-position model. The record is from RNAcentral.
UGCUUUACACAUGCAAGUCGAGCGCCCCGCAAGGGGAGCGGCAGACGGGAGAGUAACACGUGGGAACGUACCCUUCAGUUCGGAACAACCCAGGGAAACUUGGGCUAAUACCGAAUACGUCCGUAAGGAGAAAGAUUUAUCGCUGAAGGAUCGGCCCGCGUCUGAUUAGCUAGUUGGUGGGGUAAUGGCCCACCAAGGCGACGAUCAGUAGCUGGUCUGAGAGGAUGAUCAGCCUCACUGGGACUGAGACACGGCCCAGACUCCUACGGGAGGCAGCAGUGGGGAAUAUUGGACAAUGGGCGCAAGCCUGAUCCAGCCAUGCCGCGUGGGUGUGAAGGCCCUAGGGUUGUAAAGCCC